AAGUCGUAACAAGGUUUCCGUAGGUGAACCUGCGGAAGGAUCAUUGCAAAGAUGGAGAAUGAAUUGUAGGAAUGUGAAAGAAACACACAAGUACGACAAAUUUUUACCAUGAACUAUUAUUAUAACUCUCCACAUUGGAUCUCUGGGCUCUU
Molecule: unclassified non-coding RNA, 152 nt
Filed under: fungal sp.
Lineage: Eukaryota; Fungi
Description: partial internal transcribed spacer region
Rfam family: Eukaryotic small subunit ribosomal RNA (bases 1-46)
Source: RNAcentral